GGGGUGCUUGGCCUGCUGGCCGGGCCGGUCCUGGCGGGGGUCUUUCGGGGCGGGUGGCGCGUGCCGCGCCCUUGCGUACCUACUGGUACGGCCCCUGCUUGGGCAGUGCCCCGUGAGGUAGGGUGUCGGGGGCCGGAAUAGGGGGCCACAUCCCGGCGGGGCGGUCUGGCUUGGCCCUUGGAGGGGGCCCUGGCUUUAAAAAAAAAAAAGAACUGAAGCUCGUGGCGCGGGCGGCAUCAGUGAAGGGUGAUCUGGGGCGCCGUGGGGGGCUAGGUUGGGGUGCCUGGGGGCCGGCGGGGAGACUCCCAGCGGCCCCCUGGUGCCUUAUGCGGCUUGGGGUGUGGUCGUCCUCCCUGGGCGGGCUGCUCCUGGUGCUGCAUCCGUUCCGGGUCCUUCUGGCCUGGGGUCGGGCCCCUGCUGGCUCUGGGCUCGCCGGCGGGUGCCCACUGGCUGCCUGUUCGGCGCGGUUCUGGUCGUCUGCUGGGUGUGGGCUUCGGCUCCUCCGCUGGGGCCUCGGGCAGGGAGUUCUCUGGGCCCUCCCCUCGGGGGGUUAGGCGCGGGGGUGGGGUGGGGGGGUGGGGGGGUCGAUGGGGUGGGGGGUCUGGGGGUUGGGGGUGGGAUCGGUGGCGUGGUGCGCUGGGUCCUUGGCUCCUUGGGGCUUUCUCGGGUGUGUAUGGGGGGGCGAUGGCUGCCUCUCGGCUUGGGAUCUUGGGGGCGUUCGGGGGACUGCUUGGCCGUGGGGUGGUCGCCGGGGGCCCUUAGGCUGCCUGCUCUUGCUGCUGGCCUGACUGCUUCUUCGGGCCCGGGGGCGGCUCUUGGGUUUUGCAGUGGCGGUACUUGGAAAUACAUUUGUCAUGGAUGCACUGGCCUUGGGCUGUGGGAUAACACUCAUACUGGGCUCAACCUUAGACACGUUGUUCCCAAAUACCUGUUUUAUGGAAUUUCCACUCACCUCUUCCUCUGUUCACAGCCACCACCAUUAUUCCUAAACCACACACUGGUCACCAAACUGGCUUGACAACACAACAAUAAACACAAUAUACACAACCACAAUUUCACAUCGCAUCACUUAAAACUAUUCCUCACCCAUUCCAUAUCCUAUCUUGUAUCCCUCUUCCCUGCUAACUUCCCCACCCCCC
Molecule: long non-coding RNA, 1139 nt
Organism: Gouania willdenowi (blunt-snouted clingfish)
Lineage: Eukaryota; Metazoa; Chordata; Actinopteri; Blenniiformes; Gobiesocidae
Source: Ensembl